Molecule: long non-coding RNA, 1555 nt
Filed under: Homo sapiens (human)
Lineage: Eukaryota; Metazoa; Chordata; Mammalia; Primates; Hominidae
Description: non-protein coding lnc-USP47-4:1
Source: RNAcentral
GCCUCAGCGACCAGCUCUACCGAAGGCAGCCAUCUCCUUCACUGCCUGCCCCUGCGCCCGCGGCAUCCCAGGCCCGUCUUCUCUGGCCUCCAGGCUUGCAACAGCCCACCGAGGUUGGGGGUAGGGGGAAUGUUCCUCAGUCCCACCUUGGUCUUUCCAAGCCAACCUCUGUCCUGUGAAAUCCUCAGGAAAAAUCCCAGCCCCCAGCCUGGCAUUCAAGCCAUCACCGCUGGCCUUAGUCUGCCGUGAUUGACACCGUGCUCCAGCCAGGAUAACGCACUUGCAGCUCCUGGAAUGGGAGAACGUCAUGAGAAAGUCAGCAAGCUCCUCAAGGGUGGCAUAGAGGAGUGGUCAGGACCAGACACCUGCAGCCAGCUCUGCUCCUUCCUAACUUCCCGCCCUGGCGAAGUUACCAGAUUUGUAUGCGUCCCAGUUAGCCCUAAUAUAAAACUUUGACAAGUCUCAAAAACGUAAUAAGGAGUGGGUAGUGGAGAAUCAGAGAAGUUAGACGAUCAGGCCAAACAGCAGGUGAAGGCAGGGAUGGCCAGAGGUCCUGAGUGUAGCUGACUGCUCUCCAGCUUGAAACCCCAAGACUGCCUUUCUCUGCAGCACUCCCCACAUUACUGUUUACCGCCAAAACAGCCGCUUUCCCUUCUACUUCUGGGCCUGGGGCAGGGCCCUCCUGAACUGCAAGGAAAGCCCCAUUCCCCGGCAUCUCCUGCUCUGUCCCCUGGGCAUCUGGAAGCCCUGGUUGAGCAUUCAUUAGCUUUCUGGGGGUGGCUGAGCCCGUCCAGGAACCUGGAGCUGAGUCUCCACAUGCCCCCGCUUGUCACUUCGGGCAGAGUGGACAUUAGGAAGAAACUAAUGCCGAACUGGAGGGUGCUGUGGGGGCAUAUUGUGGGGCCGAGCUAGGAAAUGCAGUGCUGCGGGUUUACAGAGCACAUCAUGCUCUUCCAGUCCUUCAUGUUGCUGGCUUAAAGACCAGGAAUUUCCCCAGCUGAGAUUGUCUUCUGCCUUACACCUUCUACCAUGCGGUCUGGAGGUCUUGACUUUCAGAGUCAACCUAAAAAUCUCUCUAUAUCGAACUGCCCCAAGUGUCAGGCAAAGGGACGCUUGUUUUCUUGUGUGGAGUCUACAUUUUGUAUUCCCAAAUGUAAUAAUUUAUCAGUAGUUCAAUUAUUAGGUUAAACUACAAACGAAAAAAAGAAAGGAAAGAAAAGAAGGAAAGAAAGAGAGAAAGAGAAAGAGAGAAAGAAAGAAAAGAAAGAAAGAAAGAAAGAAAGAAAGAAAGAAAGAAAGAAAGAAAGAAAGAAAGAAAGAAAGAAAGGGAGAGAGAAGAAACGGUAAGAAAAUCUACAGGUCUCAAAUAUAAGUGGUCUUCCUGCCCAGCUCCAUGCCAGUCCGCGCACCAGCCUGAGACAUUCAUGGGCUCGAAGGAAAAGCCCUGGGGCCAGCUGUAGAGAUGAGCCCAAACCAGAUCUGGACAAGGAGUGUCAGCUCCAAAGAACUCAGACUGGGGAGCCCAGUGGGGUCGGGGACUUGUUGGAGAAAGGGC